UAGUUGAGGAUACAACAUGUCAGUGACAGAAAAUAAUGCACUACAUGGCAUGUAAAGGAGAAAAUGGACCCAAGAAGUUGCGAAAGGUAUUUAUGGAGAAUCACAACAUCAGACAACAAGCUUGCAUGGCUAAUAACUGUCACACGCCAACAAUUACUGAGAUUAGUGGCAAGUAGGAUGCUAUAGUUACUAAUCAAACUAACAUUGCUGAAUCAUGCAUUUAGUGGAAAGUUCCCCUCGUCAUAUCUCUAUUGCAUUACACAAUCCUGAAAAUGAAGAAAACAGUUCAAAUCAAGACAAAUCUUGUGAACUUAGGAAGAUAAUCAGGGCAGAGGAAGAGGAGAAGAAGUAAUCUUUGAGAUGCAAAAUGAGAUCCUUAGAAUUAUGUAGCGCAUCACAAAUGGCUUACAUGAAUGCCACUUCUCGGUUAAUGUUAAAAAAAAAAACAAAUUGGCGAGUAACAAGAAA
This is a long non-coding RNA of Populus trichocarpa (black cottonwood), 468 nucleotides long. RefSeq lists it as uncharacterized. The record is from RefSeq and is a predicted model, not a curated record. NCBI's taxonomy places the organism in Eukaryota, Viridiplantae, Streptophyta, Magnoliopsida, Malpighiales, Salicaceae. The transcript is spliced from 2 exons.